Molecule: ribosomal RNA, 405 nt
Filed under: bacterium
Lineage: Bacteria
Description: partial 16S ribosomal RNA
Rfam family: Bacterial small subunit ribosomal RNA
Source: RNAcentral
UAAGGAAUAUUGCGCAAUGGGGGAAACCCUGACGCAGCAACGCCGCGUGGAGGAUGACACUUUUCGGAGCGUAAACUCCUUUUAUCAGGAAAGAAUAAUGACGGUACCUGAUGAAUAAGCACCGGCUAACUCCGUGCCAGCAGCCGCGGUAAUACGGGGGGUGCAAGCGUUACUCGGAAUCACUGGGCGUAAAGGAUGCGUAGGCGGAUUAUCAAGUCUUUUGUGAAAUCUAGUGGCUUAACCACUAAACUGCUUAGGAAACUGAUAGUCUAGAGUAGGGGAGAGGUAGAUGGAAUUCUUGAUGUAGCGGUAAAAUCCGUAGAGAUCAAGAAGAAUACCCAUUGCGAAAGCGUUCUGCUGGAACCUAACUGACGCUGAAGCGUGAACGCGUGGGUAGCAAACAGG